This 418-nucleotide ribosomal RNA is filed under the name uncultured bacterium. RNAcentral's name for it is "bacterial SSU rRNA". It matches the Rfam family "Bacterial small subunit ribosomal RNA", at positions 340 to 767 of the family's 1533-position model. The record is from RNAcentral.
UACGGGAGGCAGCAGUGGGGAAUAUUGCACAAUGGGCGAAAGCCUGAUGCAGCGACGCCGCGUGAGGGAUGACGGCCUUCGGGUUGUAAACCUCUUUCAGUAGGGAAGAAGCGAAAAGUGACGGUACCUGCAGAAGAAGCACCGGCUAACUACGUGCCAGCAGCCGCGGUAAUACGUAGGGUGCGAGCGUUAUCCGGAAUUAUUGGGCGUAAAGAGCUCGUAGGCGGUUUGUCGCGUCUGUCGUGAAAGUCCGGGGCUUAACCCCCGGGAUCUGCGGUGGGUACGGGCAGACUAGAGUGCAGUAGGGGAGACUGGAAUUCCUGGUGUAGCGGUGGAAUGCGCAGAUAUCAGGAGGAACACCGAUGGCGAAGGCAGGUCUCUGGGCUGUAACUGACGCUGAGGAGCGAAAGCAUGGGGA